Molecule: ribosomal RNA, 658 nt
Filed under: uncultured bacterium
Lineage: Bacteria
Description: bacterial SSU rRNA
Rfam family: Bacterial small subunit ribosomal RNA
Source: RNAcentral
AGAGUUUGAUCAUGGCUCAGAUUGAACGCUGGCGGCAGGCCUAACACAUGCAAGUCGAGCGGUAACAGGAGGUAGCUUGCUACUUUGCUGACGAGCGGCGGACGGGUGAGUAAUGCCUGGGAAUAUGCCUUGAUGUGGGGGAUAACCAUUGGAAACGAUGGCUAAUACCGCAUAAUCUCUUCGGAGCAAAGAGGGGGACCUUCGGGCCUCUCGCGUCAAGAUUAGCCCAGGUGGGAUUAGCUAGUAGGUGAGGUAAUGGCUCACCUAGGCGACGAUCUCUAGCUGGUCUGAGAGGAUGAUCAGCCACACUGGAACUGAGACACGGUCCAGACUCCUACGGGAGGCAGCAGUGGGGAAUAUUGCACAAUGGGCGCAAGCCUGAUGCAGCCAUGCCGCGUGUGUGAAGAAGGCCUUCGGGUUGUAAAGCACUUUCAGUCGUGAGGAAGGCAGUUGCGUUAAUAGCGUAAUUGUUUGACGUUAGCGACAGAAGAAGCACCGGCUAACUCCGUGCCAGCAGCCGCGGUAAUACGGAGAGUGCGAGCGUUAAUCGGAAUUACUGGGCGUAAAGCGCAUGCAGGUGGUUAGUUAAGUCAGAUGUGAAAGCCCGGGGCUCAACCUCGGAAUUGCAUUUGAAACUGGCUAGCUAGAGUACUGUAGA